UCUUCCAUUGUCUAUCCACAAUGAAAGUAGUUCUAAUUUUAAGAUUCCAGUGCAUGCUUUUGGGUUCGGGGCAGACCAUGAUGCUUCAUCAAUGCACUCAAUCUCAGAGAUAUCUGGAGGAACCUUCUCUUUCAUUGAAACAGAAGGUGUAAUCCAGGAUGCAUUUGCUCAGUGCAUUGGUGGACUUUUGAGUGUUGUGGUCAAGGACCUGCAGGUGAAUAUUGAGUGUGUUGAUCCAAGAGUCAGUCUUGGUUCCUUAAAAGCUGGAAGCUACCCCAAUCGUGUGAUGUCGGAUGGAUGCAUGGGAACUAUUGAUGUUGGCGACCUGUAUGCUGAUGAGGAACGAGACUUUCUAGUUUCAGUUAAUGUCCCAACUGAAAUUUCAAGCUCUGAAACUGCAUUGAUAAGGGUGAAAUGUGUUUACAAUGAUCCUUUGACAAAAGGCUCGGUGACUGUUGGAAGUGAUGAAGUUAGGAUUAGAAGACCUGAUGAAGCUGGACAACAAAGUGCAUCAGUUGAAGUGGAUAGGCAACAGAACAGGCUGCGUGCGGCUGAGGCGAUGCUCCUAGCGCGAACUACGGCUGAGAAAGGAGACCUGUCUGGUGCAGCAUCUAUUCUUGAAAACUGUCGCAAGGUGUUGUCAGAAACUGUUUCGGCCAAGUCUCAUGAUCGGCUCUGCAUUGCACUUGAUGCUGAGCUUAAAGAAAUGCAAGAGAGACUGGCAAGCAGACAUGUGUAUGAAGCAUCAGGAAGGGCAUAUAUUCUUUCAGGACUAAGCUCACACUCAUGGCAGAGAGCAACAGCACGAGGUGACUCGACGGAUGGUUCAAGCCUGGUUCAGGCCUAUCAAACCCCGUCAAUGACCGAGAUGCUGAAUCGGUCUCAGGCUUCCCUACUAGGUAGUUCUUCAGCUCAGAGGCUCAUUCGACCUGUUUUAUCAUUUGCAUCACAUCCAAAGCCAAGGUGACCUUGCGACACCAAGAUAUGGAGUUUUCUCAAAGAUAACUGUUUUUCAUUGGUCUCCUUGAUGCUAUAGCUGUGCUUAUUUGUGUUUUGGGCCGGGGAAAAGUUAAUAGGUAAGAAACAGUUUUGGGUGUCAUUAUCUUCCUGUCUCAAUUAUGUAAAGCAAUAAACAUUGGUGAAGCGUGGAAAGUAUAAUGGGGUCAAGGUAAGGGGUAAACGGAGUAGGAUAAUCCAACUUUUGCUUUUUGUUGUUUCUUUUUCACCUUGUGGGUAUCAUUGGGGGUGGUGUACAUAAGGAAAGAUGGAUUUUCAUCUGAGAGAGAAGCCGGUAUAAGUUUGUAAUUGUGGAAAUAUUUUGUGAACUGCGCAGCUAUUACAUAAGAAUGUGAUUCUUUCACGGAGUUUUAAUAAUCAUGCAGUGGUAUGACUGGUACUAAUUCUUCAGCCACUUGAUAAAAUGGACUCUCUCUUUACGCAACUGAGAUCAUGAUAAGCAUGCAAAAAGUCACUCAAGAUGGUAUGGUACUACUAUCAUGGGAUGGAAAAGAUGAAACAUAUAUUAUUGUUUAAUUUUAGGAAAAGAUGAACUUCAAAGUUGACCUUCCGUGGAGACUUGUGCUUCUCCUCAUUCAUUACUAGUCCAGAGAACAAAAGCUAGCACUACAGUGCUUUGACAUUGCACCGGAUUGUUGCCAAGAAAUACACUACUGUACUGUCCUACUGUACUGUAAAAGAUGGUGUGGUGCAUUAUUCUAAACGGUCCAUACCCUUUUCCAGCCUCUCAAUUGACUUUAAAAACUUUGGGGAUUGAUAAAGAUGGUCAUGAUCCUUUAUUUUUUUCAUGAUCCUUUAUUGAUUCACUUUUUUGUUGCAUGAAAUGUCUCAUAACGUAGAAAGCUUUAAAAAAAUAUUGGGUACUCUUUAGCUUUUUGUUCCGUUACGUCUUUUCAUACGAUAAGGGGAAAUUAAUUCUUAUCUUUGCCGCGGGCGGGCUCACAUAUCAGAUUAUUAUGUGCGAGAAUAGGCAGCUUUACUGAUUGCGAGCAAAGAUUGAAUAUCAUCAGGUCAGCAACUGUGGCAAUCUCAAAGCUCCAGCUCCAAAUUCCAGUGAGAACAUGAGUAGAAACCAGGCAAGUUCACCCCAAGUUUCCCAAACAUCUCGUGCACCUGUUGACCUUGUCACGGUUCUAGAUGUCAGUGGCAGCAUGGCAGGUACCAAGCUUGCAUUGCUCAAGCGAGCUAUGGGGUUUGUGAUACAGAACCUUGGUCCCAAUGACAGGCUUGCAGUAAUUGCCUUCUCAUCAACCGCCCGCCGGUUGUUUCCCCUUCGUAGGAUGUCUGAAACAGGACGGCAGCAAGCACUGCAAGCUGUUAACUCUUUAGUUGCAAAUGGAGGGACAAACAUUGCUGAAGGCUUGCGCAAGGGUGCCAAGGUAAUGGAAGAUCGCAGAGAAAAGAACCCUGUUGCCAGUAUUAUAUUGCUAUCUGAUGGGCAAGAUACAUAUACAGUUAGUAACAUGGGGAGCAGUCAACAGCAACCAAAUUACCAACUUCUUCUUCCAUUGUCUAUCCACAAUGAAAGUAGUUCUAAUUUUAAGAUUCCAGUGCAUGCUUUUGGGUUCGGGGCAGACCAUGAUGCUUCAUCAAUGCACUCAAUCUCAGAGAUAUCUGGAGGAACCUUCUCUUUCAUUGAAACAGAAGGUGUAAUCCAGGAUGCAUUUGCUCAGUGCAUUGGUGGACUUUUGAGUGUUGUGGUCAAGGACCUGCAGGUGAAUAUUGAGUGUGUUGAUCCAAGAGUCAGUCUUGGUUCCUUAAAAGCUGGAAGCUACCCCAAUCGUGUGAUGUCGGAUGGAUGCAUGGGAACUAUUGAUGUUGGCGAC
This 2843-nucleotide long non-coding RNA is filed under the name Coffea arabica (coffee). RNAcentral describes it as "long non-coding RNA (CARA_LNC000961)". Lineage: Eukaryota; Viridiplantae; Streptophyta; Magnoliopsida; Gentianales; Rubiaceae. The record is from RNAcentral.